CGAUCUACGUUCCCAUCUUCACCUAUGGUCAUGAGCUUUGGGUUAUGACCGAAAGGACAAGAUCACUGGUACAAGCGGCCGGUGUUUAGGGCACGUCCGACCGGUAGGAGGCCAGGGGGAAGACCCAGGACACGUUGGGAAGACUAUGGGAACGCCUCGGGAUCCCCCGGGAAGAGCUGGACGAAGUGGCUGGGGAGAGGGAAGUCUGGGCUUCCCUGCUUAGGCUGCUUCCCCCACGGUAAAAUGUUGGUUAAUGACUAAAUUCAUUUUGGCUUUUUGUUUUGCAGGUUUGUUUCCACAAGUUAGCUAACAUUACUAAGGUAAGGUUUGAGGGUAAGAAGGUAUCCACAGUAUCAAUUAAACUGUUUGUCAAAACUGCACUGGUUGACUUUAAGACUAUUCAUGGUUUCUUUUGGGUAUGUUAUCAUCUCAAUUUUAAAUUCCCUUUUUUAAGUUUUUAAUCUGUCCAUAUGUUGCAUAGGUAUUAAAGGCCAUUUCCAGUCAUAUUCAAUGUUGUCUCAGAAAUCAAGUCACCUAUGGUCAGUUCAUCUCAUGCCAUGUAAACAUAUUUGCACUGGACUAAUAAUGGCUCAUAGUGGUUCAAAAUGUCUUAAAAUGUAGCUUGUUCUAACUACUAUGUGUAUUAUACUUUCUUGUUAGGCUAUAAUUAAAUGUUUAUUAUUUUUACACUUAGUCCUUCUGUUGUCAACUUGGAGUUGUAUUGAAUUUGUUGUGUUAGUGUUAUUUCUCUGUACAUUUUUGUUUAUACACAUGUAAAAGAAUGGCUUCUCCCAGAUCUCUCACAACAGUCCUCCUGGAUGGCAGAGACAUUUUCAAGAAGACUUACACUCUUGGUAAUGUCAAGGACAUUACAGAGGCGUGUACAUCUGCACUGUCGUGCAAAGCAGAAAUGACCAGAAUUCUGAAGUUCUGCUCAGAUUUUAAUAAAUACAUUGACACUGAUGUGAACUGCAAAGUUGAAAACAUGGAUACAUUCCAAAUUCUAUUCAAGUCCAUUCAAUCAGAUGUUUGUGAUGUCAGUGCCACUGCUGUCACCACACAGGAAAUAGAAGUACAGCAGAUUUCAACAGCAGCCGGUGAUCUUGAUCCUGAGAGUGCGAAGACUCACCUCCAACAAAAAGAUCCCAGGAUUUUUGCAUUCUACGAGGAGAAUGGGACCCAAAAAUGAAGAAGGGUACUGGUAACAACUGCCAUCAGUUUCCUUGUUGAAAAAAUAGAAUUUAUGUUUUUCCUCAGUUAUCCAGUAAGUGCGGACAAAAAACUUCUCGCCAGAACCAUUGUGACACUUUACCCAUCACUUAACAUCAAAAUGGAUGACGAAAAUGAGGGAUAUGUAAGGAAAUGAUUUUAAGAGAACACUUCUAUGAUCCAACUGCCACACUGGCUUUCUGGAAGAUAAGCUGAGGAAUAUCAGCCGAAAACUAAGGGAUGAUCGGCGCCGUUAUUGCAGAAGGGGUGGCUCAUCUGAAGUCACUGUUCGACUUGAAGAAGUUACAGAAAGUGAUGAGUCUGUCCAAGAAUGGAUAACUGUGAUCAAAAGGAUGAAGCUUAGUCCGGAGAACCAUUCUUCGAUUAAGAUGGGUAUGGACAAAACCGACUUUCACCGAAGAUACUGGAUAUCUAAUCAGUCACCUACUCUGGCAGAGAUUGUUGAGAACUACCCUCGUUAUGCUAUAUCUGAUUGACAGAGAGUUUGAGAAGAUGUUUCCAAACAAGACAGAUAUCUUUCUACGCAAAUGGGACCCAACCAUGGUCCCAAAGUUGUUGAAGCUGGCUGCUCUUGAAGGAAAAGCUGAACCACCAGAAGCUGAGAGUGCUGCCAGGAACAAACUUCCAUUACCUCCUACAAACCACUGACCCUGCUGCAGUGAUGCAACCUCGUUUGGUGAGCAUUGGACAUCCCAGCUCAACAUCAACACAAUAUGUCAUCGUGGCUGCCAAUGAUGUCAUUCCACUUCAGGAAGAGGGUCUCACCUGCAGUCUGGACAAACUCUUCAAGUUGUAUUGGGUUUGUAACCUUGCCUGUUUGGUAAAGUAUGAGUUGUUGAUUGAAAAAAUGGCAGGCUGUGGACAUGAUUUAAACAUUUUGAGUAUGAUAAGUGUGGCCAGUUGUGUGUCUAUAUUUGGUCAUUGCUACAGACCUGGUUGUGUGGUUUCCUUAAAAUGUGAUCUAGACAACGAACAUAUCUUUGGAGAGACAGUGAUGAGGUGUUCAUUUUGUUGAGAGUUCCUAAGUAUUUUGAUGACCACCAUCACACUUAUGUGAUUGAAAUGACAAAUUAAUUUCAAGUGAUAAUCUGAAAGAUGCAACUGAUGCUUUGCCACUUGAUGUAUAUGAGCUGAGAGAUUCUGAAUUGCACUUACUGACAAGAUACAGACUUAUUUCCUAAAUGUUGUGACUGGUAUGGUAAAAUGGUAAAAGUAAAUGUAAUGAAUAGAAGGAAUUAUUGAAUUAAAUGCCAAUUAAAUUUCAAUUAUGUUGUUUUUUAUAUAGCAUAGCAUGCACACACACACACACACACACAAACAAACACGUGUUGCCAAUAUACACAAUGUGUUGCUUUUAAAUAAGUAAGUAACACAAACAUUUGUUACUAAAACCUACACAUUUACUGUGUUAAUAUAAGUAACAAAGUUAUGUGUUAAAAUGAACAAAAAUUGAGUUGUCCCCCUCUGGACAUGGAGAUGUGUAAAAAAACAACACAAAUUGUGUUAUUUCCAACACAUUCGUUUUAAGAGUGUAGAUAGAGUGAAAUAUGAAGCACGUUUGUAUAACAAUUUCCAACCAACAUAAUUAAUUUCAGACCAUUUACACCUUUCGAGACUCUUGAGCAGCUUAAGGCCUUCUGUGAACGGCUCGACACUGAUCUUCUGCUCAGAAAGCAGCUGGUGAAAGCUCUUACUGCUCUUGGUGGGCAGAAUUUGGCAGACACGGUGGUACAAUGCUGAGAAAAAUUGCCACAAACAAAGUCCUGGAGCAGCUUGGCCUCCGUGGAAAGACAGGAAAAGUGGCGUUUAUCCCAGUGCCAAGGUGCACUGGGAUAGGCUCCAGUAGAUUUAUGCUGCUUUAACAUCUGCUGACUGAAGAAUCCUCCAUCAAGUCUUUUAUUGGGCGCCAAACAAUCAUCCAUGCCACACCCACUUCAAGUCCAUUUUUUUUUUUCUAUUUAUAGAAUAAUAAAUAGUAAGUGUUAAUAAUAGGUUUGCAUCUUUGAACAUAUGUUGCAUGUAUGCUCACAAGGUCGAUCUAGCUGUUAUUAUUACGGUAUUUAUUCUAAAGGGAAUUCUAAAUUGUGCUGGUGAUUCCAGAGGCAUGCAGGGGUGUUUACAAACAGACGACCACAGCUGAAGUGAAUUGUGAGCUUGGAGAGGUCCUGAAACUGGCCACUUUGAAGAGAAGAUAAAAUAUCCCAAUUUUGAAUUCCAUUUUAUUGAAGUUCCACUGCAUGUCUUUUGAAUUUGCAAUUAUAACUACUUGCAGGAGAAGAGGAGGAAUUAAGAGGGAGGGCAAAAAAGGAAAAAGAAACAAGCAAAAGAACAGAGAUAGUGACAGUGAGAUGAGUGACCAGGAAGCGACGGCGAAGAAGGGCAAAGGGAAGUGUACAAAGGAAAGGGACAGUGAGAGUGACAGUGAGAUGAGUGACCAGGAAGCGAAGAAGAAGAAAACAGGGAAAGGGAAAGGGAAAAGAACCAAGCAAACGGGACAGUGAGACCAGUGAACAUUGAGCAGGAAGAGAACCAACAAGAAGGGGCAUGAGUACACUGACGCGCACGACCAAGACCACUGCAUUCC
This is a long non-coding RNA of Entelurus aequoreus (snake pipefish), 3814 nucleotides long. RefSeq lists it as uncharacterized. NCBI's taxonomy places the organism in Eukaryota, Metazoa, Chordata, Actinopteri, Syngnathiformes, Syngnathidae. The transcript is spliced from 10 exons. The record is from RefSeq and is a predicted model, not a curated record.